CAGUCGCCACGGGAAUACGUAGGGUGCAAGCGUUAAUCGGAAUUACUGGGCGUAAAGCGUGCGUAGGCGGUUCGUUAAGUCUGUUGUGAAAGCCCCGGGCUCAACCUGGGAAUGGCAAUGGAUACUGGCGAGCUAGAGUGUGUCAGAGGAUGGUGGAAUUCCCGGUGUAGCGGUGAAAUGCGUAGAGAUCGGGAGGAACAUCAGUGGCGAAGGCGGCCAUCUGGGACAACACUGACGCUGAGGCACGAAAGCGUGGGGAGCAAACAGGAUUAGAUACCCCUGUAGUCCCUGUCUCUUAUAC
RNAcentral lists this ribosomal RNA (301 nucleotides) under uncultured bacterium. Its description in RNAcentral is "partial 16S ribosomal RNA". It matches the Rfam family "Bacterial small subunit ribosomal RNA", at positions 509 to 807 of the family's 1533-position model. The record is from RNAcentral.